AGUCAAUGAUCGAAAGAUUGAUCUAGUUACUUAAAAUGAUGAAAAUUAUAAUAAUAUAAUAAAAAAAAUAAUAAUGAAGAAUAUAAAAUCAAUAUAUAUAUAUAAAAUAAUGAUAUAAAAAAUAUAUAGAAGUCUUAACAAAAAUUAGUGCCAGCAGUUGCGGCUAAACUGAGGAGGCGAACGUUAAUCAUUAAUGGCUUAAAGGAUCCGUAGAACGAAAAAAAAGAAUAUAGAGUUAAAAGAAAUAAAUAAUGUAUAAUUAUAAUGAGAGAUGAAAUGCAAUGAAAAUAAUUAGACAGCUAAAACUGAAGAGAAUAUUUAUAAUUUAACUGACGUUGAGGGAUGAAAGCAUAAGUAAUAAACCGGAUUAGAUACCCGAGUAAUUUAUGCUGUAAACGAUGAAUACUAAUAUAAAAAAAAUAUAAAAAAAGCGAAAGUAAAGUAUUCCGCCAGGUGAGUAUAUUCGCAAGAAUGAAAUCCAAGACAAUAGACGGUUACAGGUGUAGGCAGUGGAUUGUGUUAU
This 523-nucleotide ribosomal RNA is filed under the name Brettanomyces bruxellensis. RNAcentral's name for it is "partial small subunit ribosomal RNA". It matches the Rfam family "Bacterial small subunit ribosomal RNA", at positions 366 to 945 of the family's 1533-position model. The record is from RNAcentral. Lineage: Eukaryota; Fungi; Ascomycota; Pichiomycetes; Pichiales; Pichiaceae.